This 980-nucleotide long non-coding RNA is filed under the name Zea mays. Its description in RNAcentral is "long non-coding RNA (ZMAY_LNC002119)". The record is from RNAcentral. Lineage: Eukaryota; Viridiplantae; Streptophyta; Magnoliopsida; Poales; Poaceae.
CACAAGCUAGAUAGAUAAUAAUCAUAUCCAUGGUCGUCGAUCGAUGUGAUCAGCAGUUGCAGGGGUCGCACUUGCAGUUGCCACCGCAGCUGCAGCCGUGGGCGGCCUCGCCGGACUCCGCCGCGGCCUCGACGAACUCGGGCGCGGCCUUCUUCUCCGGGGCCACGCCGAGGACGACGGUGGCCUGCGCGGCGGUGCUCGUCUCCUCCAGGUCAGGGUACUUCUUGCUGAAAAGGACAGCGCGCAAAUGGAUUGAACUACUCGAUCCAAAUUAACUUUGUUCUUGUCUGUUUGUUUGUUUGUUUUGCAAUGGAAAAAAUAAAUAAAUGGAAAUUAACUAGACAAGAAGAAGGCUGGAGAAAUUAAUCAUGCACGGUGCACUUAUAUAUUAUCAUAUAUAUUACCCGCACUUGCAGCUUGAGCCGCAGCCGCAGCUUGAUCCGCAGUUGCAAGACAUCCUCGACCUUGUGGUGCAAAAGAAGCUCGAUCUCUUCAAGAAUCAAUGAAACAAGUCGUCUUAUUUGCUUGGCUGAGCUUGAGCACCAUGGACACCUCUUUUUAUAGCAAGUGAGGAUGGAUCAUCGAUGGAGGCAUGAUGUAUGGGCAACGCGCCGUGGCACCACGCCAUAGGCUCUUGCUUGCAAGAACCGGUCCAAUGCCCCACUUGUCUCCUGAUCGAAGAAUUAUUCUUGCCUGGAAUAUUACGUCCAUUUCGAUUUAGUAAUCCAGUUCGUCCUAGCUUUAUUCUUUAUUUAUAAGUAAUACUUUGCCUGUCCUUAUUAAAUAUAAAAGACCCGGUUAACUUGUAGCUAGCUAUGCUAUUAACAACCCCAUACGACCUCUAGCCAAGCAUGCAUGCAUUAGACUGAAUGCUAGUUUGAGAGCCAUAAAAUCGGAAGGGUUGGAGGAGUUAAAAUACAAAUACACUACUUAUUUAAAAUUAAAUAAGGAGAGGAUUUUAGCCUCUUUAAUCUCCUAUA